AGCUUGACUGCGAGCGUGACGGCGCGAGCAGGUGCGAAAGCAGGUCAUAGUGAUCCGGUGGUUCUGAAUGGAAGGGCCAUCGCUCAACGGAUAAAAGGUACUCCGGGGAUAACAGGCUGAUACCGCCCAAGAGUUCAUAUCGACGGCGGUGUUUGGCACCUCGAUGUCGGCUCAUCACAUCCUGGGGCUGAAGUAGGUCCCAAGGGUAUGGCUGUUCGCCAUUUAAAGUGGUACGCGAGCUGGGUUUAGAACGUCGUGAGACAGUUCGGUCCCUAUCUGCCGUGGGCGCUGGAGAACUGAGGGGGGCUGCUCCUAGUACGAGAGGACCGGAGUGGACGCAUCACUGGUGUUCGGGUUGUCAUGCCAAUGGCACUGCCCGGUAGCUAAAUGCGGAAGAGAUAAGUGCUGAAAGCAUCUAAGCACGAAACUUGCCCCGAGAUGAGUUCUCCCUGACUCCCUGAGAGUCCUGAAGGAACGUUGAAGACGACGACGUUGAUAGGCCGGGUGUGUAAGCGCAGCGAUGCGUUGAGCUAACCGGUACUAAUGAACCGUGAGG
Molecule: ribosomal RNA, 556 nt
Filed under: Escherichia coli
Lineage: Bacteria; Pseudomonadati; Pseudomonadota; Gammaproteobacteria; Enterobacterales; Enterobacteriaceae
Description: partial 23S ribosomal RNA
Rfam family: Bacterial large subunit ribosomal RNA
Source: RNAcentral